CGUUCAUCCAGAGGGGAUGAGGGAACGGCCCUUUGACUCCCCGGCAACCGCCUGGCCAAACCAGGAACGGUGCCAACUCCGCCGUGGUCGAACGUCGGCCACGACAGAUGAAGA
Molecule: non-coding RNA, 114 nt
Filed under: Friedmanniella luteola
Lineage: Bacteria; Bacillati; Actinomycetota; Actinomycetes; Propionibacteriales; Nocardioidaceae
Description: SAM-I sequence
Rfam family: SAM riboswitch aptamer (S box leader)
About the family: The SAM riboswitch is found upstream of a number of genes which code for proteins involved in methionine or cysteine biosynthesis in Gram-positive bacteria. The SAM riboswitch acts at the level of transcription termination control.
Source: Rfam by way of RNAcentral